UCCUUUGUAAUAUGACUGUGUUGUUUUAUGAUGUUUUGCUUUGAUUUAUGUUUUUUCUUGCUGUCACAUUAUGCUUGCUUAUUGCAGUCUUGCGGGAUUCUUUUUGGUGACAGUUUAUCAAAAGCAGCAUAAGCUUUCUAGCUUGGUACGGACAAGACAUUCGGCUGGUGAAUGCAUUGCGGUUGACGCAUACAGCAUGGGAGAAUCCCCAUGGUGGUUUCAUCUAAUAUGGACCCAUGCACUGUAACUUGUUCUUCAACUGGUUAUCUUUUGGUGUUGUUAGUAUUGCAGGUUGCUUGGACACCUAUGGACAUGCUUAGUACAUUGCAAGUCAGGCUAAGGUUCAAUGCAAAUAGUUGUUGCUGCAGGUCAAAUAUUGCACAGUGGGCCUGGCCAAAGUUUGGAGAAAAAGAUGCAAAACAAGUGAUCCUGAACUUUUGCUGUAGGUUGAACUUGUCUGCAACUCGCCGUCACCGGGACAUCAUGAUUCACAGUUGGCCUGGUGUUGCAGUUUGGACUUGGAUGGCCUGGCUAGUGGCCUUUCGAAUUUGUACGGCAUUAAAGCAUCAGUUUGAUGUGGCUGGAACUUUUGAGCUUUCUGCAUUUACCUAGGCUUUUAUUUGGAAUGCUGAGUUUUGGAUAGUUUGUAGCCUUACAUUGCUUUGGCUAUGUCUGUUGCAUUCACGGCUUUCCCGUUUUCUAACCACCCUUUUUAUGUUCUAUAUGUUUUGGAUAUAUAUGUUAUUUCGGGAUAUGUAGACUGGAUAAAAUUUAAUGGAGAAUUGGGUCAAUAACA
Molecule: long non-coding RNA, 796 nt
Organism: Lathyrus oleraceus (garden pea)
Lineage: Eukaryota; Viridiplantae; Streptophyta; Magnoliopsida; Fabales; Fabaceae
Exons: 2
Source: RefSeq, a predicted model, not a curated record